AAGGCCGCGGCCUCGUUCAAGUAACCCAGGAUAGGCUGUGCAGGUCCCGAGGGCCUAUUCUUGGUUACUUGCACAGGGACGCGGGCCUG
This is a microRNA precursor of Tupaia belangeri (northern tree shrew), 89 nucleotides long. The record is from Ensembl. NCBI's taxonomy places the organism in Eukaryota, Metazoa, Chordata, Mammalia, Scandentia, Tupaiidae.